Molecule: small RNA, 352 nt
Filed under: Histoplasma ohiense
Lineage: Eukaryota; Fungi; Ascomycota; Eurotiomycetes; Onygenales; Ajellomycetaceae
Description: hypothetical lncRNA
Source: RNAcentral
AAUGAAUAUGGAUGAGAGAGUUUUACCAUUCCUCCGUUCGAUUGAGCAACAGUCAUAAAUAACAUAUAUGUCUGGAUCGAUCGGUAUUCAUAUUAAAGCCUACAAAAAGAAAAAGCAGAAGAAGAAAAGAAAAAGUUGAAAUUUAUCCUUAGAAGGGUAGAAUAUCGAGAUGGCGAGUCUUACAUGUACGUGACGGGCACAUGGAGCGAUUGAUGGACGACUGACUGUAAGGGGAAGAAAACCCAACAGAUCAAAAAAUCCAUUUAGUUCUCAUAUAUACAAAGGAGAAAAAAACUAUGAAGUUAACUUAAAGUUGCGAAGAAAGCAUCAACAGUGGAAGGUAAAAGAAAGG